RNAcentral lists this ribosomal RNA (449 nucleotides) under uncultured bacterium. Its description in RNAcentral is "bacterial SSU rRNA". It matches the Rfam family "Bacterial small subunit ribosomal RNA", at positions 355 to 796 of the family's 1533-position model. The record is from RNAcentral.
UGGGGAAUCUUGGACAAUGGGGGCAACCCUGAUCCAGCGAUGCCGCGUGAGUGAAGAAGGCCUUCGGGUCGUAAAGCUCUUUAGGUCGGGAGGAAGGUUAGUCGUUUAAGAGAUAGCUAAUUUGACUGUACCGACAGAAUAAGCACCGGCAAACUCUGUGCCAGCAGCCGCGGUAAUACAGAGGGUGCGAGCGUUAAUCGGAUUUACUGGGCGUAAAGGGUGCGUAGGCGGUUAUAAGAGUGUGAUGUGAAAGCCCCGGGCUUAACCUGGGAAGUGCAUCGCAAACGAUAUAACUGGAGUAGUUGAGAGGGUGAUGGAAUUUCCGGUGUAGCGGUGAAAUGCGUAGAGAUCGGAAGGAACGUCAAUGGCGAAGGCAGUCACCUGGCAACAUACUGACGCUGAGGCACGAAAGCGUGGGUAGCGAACAGGAUUAGAUACCCCCGUAGUCC